Molecule: ribosomal RNA, 465 nt
Filed under: uncultured bacterium
Lineage: Bacteria
Description: partial 16S ribosomal RNA
Rfam family: Bacterial small subunit ribosomal RNA
Source: RNAcentral
CCUACGGGAGGCAGCUGUAGGGAAUUUUCGUCAAUGGGCGCAAGCCUGAACGAGCAAUGCCGCGUGAACGAGGAAGGUCUUCGGAUCGUAAAGUUCUGUUGAAGGGGAAAAAGAGCGGAGAGAGGAAAUGAACUCCGAUUGAUAUUACCCUUCGAGGAAGUCACGGCUAACUACGUGCCAGCAGCCGCGGUAAUACGUAGGUGGCGAGCGUUAUCCGGAAUGAUUGGGCGUAAAGGGUGCGUAGGCGGCCUGCUAAGUCUGGAGUGAAAGGUACCGGCUCAACCGGUACAGGCUCUGGAAACUGGCGGGCUAGAGAGCAGGAGAGGGCAGUGGAACUCCAUGUGUAGCGGUAAAAUGCGUAGAUAUAUGGAAGGACACCAGUGGCGAAGGCGGCCGCCUGGCCUGUUGACUGACGCUGAGGCACGAAAGCGUGGGGAGCAAAUAGGAUUAGAUACCCGAGUAGUC